GACGAACGCUGGCGGCGCGCUUAACACGUGCAAGUCGAACGGAAAGGCCUGCUUUCCCUUGUGGAUUGCGGGUACUCGAGUGGCGAACGGGUGAGUAACACGUGAGUGAUCUGCCCCCAACUUGGGUAUAAGCCUGGGAAACUGGGUCUAAUUCCCGAUAGGACUGCAGGGUGGUGCCUGUGGUGGAAAACGAUUUUCUAGUGGUUGGGGAUGAGCUCGCGGCCUAUCAGCUUGUUGGUGGGGUAAUGGCCUACCAAGGCGGCGACGGGUAGCCGGCCUGGGAGGGUGGACGGCCCCAUUGGGACUGAGAUACGGCCCAGACUCCUACGGGAGGCAGCAGUGGGGAAUAUUGCACAAUGGGCGGAAGCCUGAUGCAGCGACGCCGCGUGGGGGAUGACGGCCUUCGGGUUGUAAACUCCUUUCGACCGCGAGGAAGCCACCUGGUUGGAAGGGUGGUGACGGUAGUGGUAGAAGAAGCACCGGCUAACUACGUG
RNAcentral lists this ribosomal RNA (494 nucleotides) under uncultured bacterium. RNAcentral's name for it is "partial 16S ribosomal RNA". It matches the Rfam family "Bacterial small subunit ribosomal RNA", at positions 28 to 507 of the family's 1533-position model. The record is from RNAcentral.